GACAGAGGGUGCAAACGUUGUUCGGAAUUACUGGGCGUAAAGCGCGUGUAGGCUGCUUCGCAAGUCGGGUGUGAAAGCCCCGGGCUCAACCUAGGAAUUGCAUUCGAGACUGCAUUGCUGGAGUACGGAAGAGGAAGGCGGAAUUCCCGGUGUAGCGGUGAAAUGCGUAGAUAUCGGGAGGAACAUCAGUGGCGAAGGCGGCCUUCUGGUCCAGUACUGACACUCAAGUGCGAAAGCGUGGGGAGCAAACAGG
RNAcentral lists this ribosomal RNA (253 nucleotides) under uncultured bacterium. RNAcentral's name for it is "partial 16S ribosomal RNA". It matches the Rfam family "Bacterial small subunit ribosomal RNA", at positions 524 to 776 of the family's 1533-position model. The record is from RNAcentral.